RNAcentral lists this ribosomal RNA (497 nucleotides) under uncultured bacterium. RNAcentral describes it as "partial 16S ribosomal RNA". It matches the Rfam family "Bacterial small subunit ribosomal RNA", at positions 28 to 507 of the family's 1533-position model. The record is from RNAcentral.
GACGAACGCUGGCGGCGUGCCUAAUACAUGCAAGUUGAGCGCUGAAGGUUGGUACUUGUACCAACUGGGUGAGCAGCGAACGGGUGAGUAACGCGUGGGGAAUCUGCCUUUGAGCGGGGGACAACAUUUGGAAACGAAUGCUAAUACCGCAUAAAAACUUUAAACACAAGUUUUAAGUUUGAAAGAUGCAAUUGCAUCACUCAAAGAUGAUCCCGCGUUGUAUUAGCUAGUUGGUGAGGUAAAGGCUCACCAAGGCGAUGAUACAUAGCCGACCUGAGAGGGUGAUCGGCCACAUUGGGACGGAGACACGGCACAAACGCCUACGGGAGGCAGCAGUAGGGAAUCGUCGGCAAGGGACGAAAGUCUGACCGAGCAACGCCGCGGGAGGGAAGAAGGGUGUCGGAUCGUAAAACUCGGUUGGUAGAGAAGAACGUUGGUGAGAGUGGAAAGCUCAUCAAGUGACGGUAACUACCCAGAAAGGGACGGCUAACUACGUG